This is a long non-coding RNA of Phragmites australis (common reed), 563 nucleotides long. RefSeq lists it as uncharacterized. The transcript is spliced from 3 exons. The record is from RefSeq and is a predicted model, not a curated record. Lineage: Eukaryota; Viridiplantae; Streptophyta; Magnoliopsida; Poales; Poaceae.
UUUUUGUUUCUUGGUAUGCUACUCAUCCCAUCGGUUUCUUGAUUCGUUUUCAGGUGUGGCUCUGAAGUGGCACUUCAUCGAACAGGAUGAAUGCAUUGGCCGCCACCAGCAGGAGCUUCAAGCAGGCAGCUGAGCUGCUGCGUCUGGACUCCAAGCUGGAGAAGAGCUUGCUCAUAGCAUUCAGAGAGAUCAAGGUUGUGGAGUUGGAUUUUCUGUAUCCAAUCAAAGGGAUACUUGGGUGAUGGGAGACUGGUUACAGAAUAACCUCGGCUGCAGCUACACCUGACCAAGCUGCUUUUAUCUUGAGCAUACCAAAAAGGAAACCAAUGGAGGGGACUCUAGCAACCAUGGAAAGGCGAGCCUUAUGUUGAUUGUUGAUUGCUGUAUCGAAGCACCCAAGUCAUGAAGACCCUUGAGUUACCAGUGGAGCCAGAAGAGCUGCGAGAUGAAACAAAUCUCCAUUGAUAGGAUUGGAGUGCAAGUGGCUGGCAUUGGCCUCUUGCAAUAUCCUACACCGAUUGAAGGAUCAUAUGCAAUGUUGUAUCAUAUGUGGACCUUGUCGA